UUACAAAUUGAAUGCACCUGCACAAUAGCUGAAACCUUUUAUAAAUCACACAUUGAUCUAAAUGGGAGACUUGGGAGUACAUGUCAGGACCUAUCAUCUCAAAUUAGGAUUAGAGAGGAUCUCUACAUGUAUCAGAUUCUAGUUGAAUCUGUAAGACUGCUGUCAGACCUGACAGUAGCAGCAUAGUAGAUCAUCCAGUCUUUGUGUUCCCACCCAGGAGCCGGUACAUUGCCUUCCUGAGAGGGGCGCUCCAGCACCCCCUGUUGUCGAGAUCUUCUCCCUCCUGGUUGACUAGUUCUUUGAGAACAGUCCAAGGCUGUUAAGUUCUAUAUGCAUGACAUCUGUGUGUCCAAACAGGACAAGAUAAACUGCAACGAACUGAAGAGCGAUGGUCCCAUGUGGAAGCACUCCAUGGCUGUGUUCAACUGCUUUAAGAGGGUCCUGGAGAUGGACAGCACCAACCUGGCUCUGUGGAUCGAGUACAGCACCAUGUCCUACGCCGUGUACUCCUUCACCUCGCGCCAACUCAAACAGUGGAGGACUGAGCUUCCCUCCGAGGUCAUCAAACCGGUGCAGUGGACAACCAGUAUGGAGGAGAGAGACCAUGCUGGAGACGUGUUUCCAGGGGACGUCUCGGAAGUCAGGGGACGUCUAGGAAGUCAGAGGCCGCACAUUAUCUGCACAAGGGAGCUGCCAGAUACACUACCACAAUUCCCCUGACUUGUCUAUGGAGGCCCUGGAGCUGUACUUCCAUCUGAGUGCCACUCUCCUCAAGCUGCUGGAGUCUGAGGAACCAGACCUGGAGCAUGAUCUUCUUCAACAUCCUGGCUGAGGUGGCCACUGGACCCUUUGCCAGGGGGGGAAGAGAAGAGAAGGGCAGGCCCAGGUCCAACGAAAAGGAGAAGCCCCUCUCCAUGAUGGACGAGGACUCCCACUGCUGUGUGUCAUCUGUGUGUGAUGGAUGUUCAUGGGGCCUCCCUCCCCUCCAACGCUGCAGGUCUGACGUCCCCACCUUACAUGGCCACUCUGGUCGACCACGAUUACACCAAACGUAACACCCUCCGGCAGCAGCAGACCAAACGAAACACCCUCCGGCAGCAGCAGACCAAACGAAACACCCUCCGGCAGCAGCAGACCAAACGUAACACCCUCCGGCAGCACCAGACCAAACAUAACACCCUCCGGCAGCAGCAGACCAAACGUAACACCCUCCGGCAGCAGCAGACCAAACGUAACACCCUCCGGCAGCAGCAGACCAAACGUAACACCCUCCGGCAGCAGCAGACCAAACGUAACACCCUCCGGCAGCAGCAGACCAAACGUAACACCCUCCGGCAGCAGCAGACCAAACGUAACACCCUCCGGCAGCAGCAGACGAGGAAACGGUAUGAGGAGGAGCUGAUGGUACAGUCCCAGUCCUAGACUCUGGUUCUCUGGGGUUGGGCCCAUUCUUCACCGAGCUGGGGAGUAGUGUUUGUUAUGAGGAUAAUCACUAUGAUGAUAAUGGCUCUGGUUCCAGUGAUGACUCAAUUAGCACUGGGUGAUUGGGAUGUCUUGGGGAAUUGGGCAAUAUGGUAUCUCAGGUUAUUUGGAUAUUAUUUUACUGCUCUAUAAAAAUGCAAUGGCAUUUAGUUUAGGCAAACAGAGGUGUGAAGGUAGAGUUUGGCAGAGGGCGUCCUGGCCUGUGUGUGUUAAUAUGUAGAAGUUUGUGCUGGUCACCCUCUUUUCCUUUCUUUCCCAUUUCCCUUGCCUUUUGAUGACGUUGUUUUCGAAUGUAACUUCAGCAGAGCUUGUAUCCAUGUGUAACCAGUGUGAAAUGAUUAGCUAGUUAGCAGUGCGCGCUAGUGGCAUUUCAAUCGGUAAUGUCAUUUGCUCUGAGACCUUGAAGUAAUUGUUUCCCUUGCUCUGCAAGGGCUGUGGAGCGAUAGGUAACAAUGCUUAGAUGUUGACUGUUGUUGCUGUGUGCGGGGGGCCCCUGGUUCAAGCCCAGGUUGGGGUGAGGAGAGUGACUGUUCUCAUCACCUCUUAUGAAGCCAUUUAGAUUGAGAAUAGAUCUUCUUGGCUUUUGAUUUGAUUAAGUUUUGAUUUUAGCUUCUAAUUUUAAAGACCAAUGCAGUCAACUUGAUUUUCCUGUUUUUUAUAUAUAUAUA
This is a long non-coding RNA of Oncorhynchus kisutch (coho salmon), 2150 nucleotides long. RefSeq lists it as uncharacterized. The transcript has 6 exons. The record is from RefSeq and is a predicted model, not a curated record. NCBI's taxonomy places the organism in Eukaryota, Metazoa, Chordata, Actinopteri, Salmoniformes, Salmonidae.